GCCGUCUUAGCUCAGUUGGCAGAGCAACUGCCUUGUAAGCAGUAGGUCGUAGGUUCAAAUCCUAUAGACGGCACCA
This 76-nucleotide transfer RNA is filed under the name Mesomycoplasma hyorhinis. RNAcentral's name for it is "tRNA-Thr". It matches the Rfam family "tRNA". Rfam says of the family: Transfer RNA (tRNA) molecules are approximately 80 nucleotides in length. Their secondary structure includes four short double-helical elements and three loops (D, anti-codon, and T loops). Further hydrogen bonds mediate the characteristic L-shaped molecular structure. tRNAs have two regions of fundamental functional importance: the anti-codon, which is responsible for specific mRNA codon recognition, and the 3' end, to which the tRNAs corresponding amino acid is attached (by aminoacyl-tRNA synthetases). tRNAs cope with the degeneracy of the genetic code in two manners: having more than one tRNA (with a specific anti-codon) for a particular amino acid; and 'wobble' base-pairing, i.e. permitting non-standard base-pairing at the 3rd anti-codon position. The record is from RNAcentral. Lineage: Bacteria; Bacillati; Mycoplasmatota; Mycoplasmoidales; Metamycoplasmataceae.